This 1064-nucleotide long non-coding RNA is filed under the name Ananas comosus (pineapple). RNAcentral's name for it is "long non-coding RNA (ACOM_LNC016422)". Lineage: Eukaryota; Viridiplantae; Streptophyta; Magnoliopsida; Poales; Bromeliaceae. The record is from RNAcentral.
CAUCUCUUUCUUAAAAAAAAUAAUAAUAAUAAAAAGUAAAAGGAUAAUAUCUAAUAUAUCUCUCAAAACUUUUAAAAUAUCUUAUGUACUUCUGCUUUUUGUUUAUUUCAAAUAUAUCCCUUGUAUAUUUCUUUGUUAUUUAAAAAUAACCCAGCUGUUAAUGCCCGUUAAGUCGCCUCGGAUUAACUCCGAGUUAAAUUUCUAUCAGAGUUCAAAAAAAAAAUCAAAAUACCAUUUUUGCUCCUAAUUUAAAGGCAAAUAAGAAAAAUUAGUGAUAAUAGAAGAGUAUAUUUGAAAAAAUAAAAAAGUCAAAUAUUUUUUUUACUCCUAACGUAAGGAUAAAUAAGAAAAAUUGAUGAUGGUAGAAAGGUAUAUUUGAAAGGACAAAAUAAUAAUUUCACAAAGAUAACGGUGUUCAUAAUAGUUUACUAACAAAAUUUAACUCUAAGGGCAUGCUUGAUUCAUCUAUUUUAGACUAUGAAAUCGGAAUGGAAUUCAUUAAUUCCGAUAGUUGUCGUUUGUUUUAUAGUAAUCGAAUUCCGGUUAUCAUUCCACUCCGGAAUGUGAAUGGCCAAAUCUAUUUAUGACUUAAUCUGGUUUUGAAUUCUGAAUUGGCCCAUUCUAAGUAAACUAUUCAAAAUUUUCUUUCACUAACACCUACCUCAUCUCCCUUCAUCACUUUCCUCUCUCUUAAUCAAAACACUGUUUCAAUAAUUUUAAAUUUCCAUUCCGAUUUUCAUUCUAAUAAUGAACUAAACAUUUUUGGAUGAUUUGUCAUUCUAUUUUCCAUUCCAAAGCAAUUCAAUUCCAUUUCUCAUUUCUAUUCCAAUCAUGAAUCAAACAUGCCUUAAAAGGAUAUAUUUGAAAUAAUUUGGAACGUUAAAAGAGCACUUUUAAUAUUAGCUUUUUAAGAGGGGUAAAUAUAUAAAAAGUCGAAAAUUUUUCAAGGAUAUGUAAGCAUUUACCCUAAAAAUAAAACUACGUUCAAAUCUUUCUUCUUCUUUUUUCCCCUUUCCUUUUGAAAUUUAGAUUAAAGAAGUUACUGGUUACCAAGUCUCUAACAU